AAUGACGCUGGCGGCAGGCUACACAUGCAGUCGAGCGGAGUUUGGUGCUUGCACCAAGACUUAGCGGCGGACGGGUGAGUAAUGCUUAGUGAAUCUGCCUAUUAGUGGGGGACAACGUUUCGAAAGGAACGCUAAUACCGCAUACGUCCUACGGGAGAAAGCAGGGGAUCAUUUGACCUUGCGCUAAUGGAUGAGCCUAAGUCGGAUUAGCUAGUUGGUGGGGUAAAGGCCUACCAAGGCGACGAUCUGUAGCGGGUCUGAGAGGAUGAUCCGCCACACUGGGACUGAGACACGGCCCAGACUCCUACGUGGAGGCAGCAGUGGGGAAUAUUGGACAAUGGGCGGAAGCCUGAUCCAGCCAUGCCGCGUGUGUGAAGAAGGCCUUUUGGUUGUAAAGCACUUUAAGCGAGGAGGAGGAGCUCUAGGCUAAUACCCUAGAUGCUUGGACGUUACUCGCAGAAUAAGCACCGGCUAACUCUGUGCCAGCAGCCGCGGUAAUACAGA
Molecule: ribosomal RNA, 504 nt
Filed under: uncultured Acinetobacter sp.
Lineage: Bacteria; Pseudomonadati; Pseudomonadota; Gammaproteobacteria; Moraxellales; Moraxellaceae
Description: bacterial SSU rRNA
Rfam family: Bacterial small subunit ribosomal RNA
Source: RNAcentral